This 203-nucleotide long non-coding RNA is filed under the name Elaeis guineensis (African oil palm). Its description in RNAcentral is "long non-coding RNA (EGUI_LNC064946)". Lineage: Eukaryota; Viridiplantae; Streptophyta; Magnoliopsida; Arecales; Arecaceae. The record is from RNAcentral.
GAUCAUUAUCGAGGGAACCUUAAAGAGUUCAAGGGGUGCUGUUCUCACUGUGAAGUAGACUUUUUAGAUCAAGAGAAAGUUUAGUUGGAAGAAGAAGAACAAAUCUGCUAAGAAGCAGAAGGAAGAGAGUAAGCCAAAGAAGGACGUUCCAAAGAAGAUUGAUGCAAAGAAAAAAUAUUUCCAUUAUACUGCUGACAGCCACU